CUGGCGGUCCUAUGGAAGCCAGAGGCCACCACUGGCUUCAAGUAGCAAAAUCCACCGGUAAAGUACCGCCUCAGCGGUAAGGCGGGCAUAAUAAGAAGUGGGAAAUCUGGGGCCUAGCUUUCUUGAAGAUGGCUGCUUCUGUCUCCUCCUGCUCUCUUUAUCAUCGCUUCCACCACCACCCCCCUCACGACCCCUCUCUCCGCCUCCCUCCUCCUGCCAUCCUCCCCAUGCUCGCCACCUCACGGAACCGAAGAGUUCUUGCCCGUGGCAAAUUCGAGAAAUUCGACCGCGGGGACUCUAGCGCCGGCAAUCCCUCGUCGUCCCCCCCCGACUCCGCCCAAUCCCAGACACCCGAUCAAGAACAGCCACAAGAAUCAGAGGACGACAGCGUCUUACCUUCAGAUCUGGUGGAUGCGAUCCGACGGUCAAGUCAAGCGAGCGCUAUGUUCAUAUCUUCAGGGGGAAUGCGAGCAAUAGUAGAACUUUUAAUCCCUCAAUUACAAUUUCUUGAUGCUGAAGGAGCUCAAGCAGAGCUGUGGGAAUUAUCUAGAAUAUUUUUGGAAUCACUAAUAGAAGAAACAGGUAUCCAGAGAGUAAAAGCCAUUUUUCCUGAUGCUGGGGCAGCUGCUCUUCUAAAAUAUCAGUGGAAAGAUGCAAAGUUUGGAUUUUCCAGCUUAAGUGACCGGAAGCCUGUAGAUGAUGAAGAUGAAGUUGUAGUGAUGAUAGUUCCUGAUUAUCAGAUGUUGGAUUAUGUGGAACGCAUUGCAGCUCAUCUUUCAGGUGACCCUCCAAGAUCUCUUAUCAUGUGGAACCCACGCCUUGUCAGUGGAGAUGUUGGAGUUGGAUUUAAUGUCCGCAAGUUGCGUAAAUACUUCUUAAGCACUUUUACUAUCGUUUACUCAUUAAGACCAUUGCCAUCUGGUGCAAUCUUCAGAUGCUAUCCUGGAAUGUGGAAAGUGUUCUAUGACGAUGUAAAUAGGCCAAACAGAUAUCUGCUAGCCAAAGAACAACCCACCCGUCCUGAUGCAGCAGAUAUUGAGGUUAUAUUUGGCAGUGUAGCUGAGAAAUCUGAGGAGCCUUCAUUGUUGGUUGCUGCUUCAAUGCCAAGCAUGCGUUCCACGUUGACGAGAGGACUGCUAGUUGUCUAAGCCCCACUACACCCAGAGUCCCCAUCACCAUCUGGAGGCCCAUGCCCUUGACGAUCAAAAUCUUAAUUGUAGGACGUUCAAAGGAUUAUUGCUGCGAUGCGAAAAGCCCCUGUUCUGGAGGCAAACGAAAAACCCGUCAUUCAGGCACAUCGUCUGUUGAGCUCGGCUUGAUUAGAAGCGCGAUGGUAUUGCGCGUAUUCCAUCAAAAGCAAGAGCUCAUACACACGACUGUUGGAAAGGUUAAGUCGAGGUUGCUGCAAGCGAUGACGGCAACCCAAAAACCAGUAUCUAUAUGUAACAGAGAAUGACCACGGUAUGCAUGAAAAUUCUGUGGGCUUAUCGGGGACAAAUGUUUGAAAUCAUCUAUUAUAUCGCUCACCGAUCUAUUAUAAGAUU
This is a non-coding RNA of Elaeis guineensis (African oil palm), 1544 nucleotides long. NCBI's taxonomy places the organism in Eukaryota, Viridiplantae, Streptophyta, Magnoliopsida, Arecales, Arecaceae. The record is from RefSeq and is a predicted model, not a curated record.